GCAUCCAUGGCUGAGUGGUUAAAGCGCCCAACUCAUAAUUGGUAAAUUUGCGGAUGUG
This 58-nucleotide transfer RNA is filed under the name Triticum aestivum (bread wheat). Lineage: Eukaryota; Viridiplantae; Streptophyta; Magnoliopsida; Poales; Poaceae. The record is from Rfam by way of RNAcentral.